GAAUUUUUUUUUUUUACCCUAUCUCCUUCUCAUCUCUCUCGUCUUUUUCCGAGGACAAACUGUUUUGAAGCGGAGGAGAAAGUCUGAGUAGGAAAUGGCUCUGAAGUUUCUGAACGAGAAAUCUGUGAACAAGGGUGAUGCUUCUGCUGUUGUUAAGUUGUAGAGCGCUAUCAAAUUCAAUGGCAAAGGUCAUUUGAACCACUCUUAUCAAGCUGAAGGUGCUGAUGUGCAAGGAUCAGGAUGGGUGGUCAUGGUUCGGUCUAGACAAAGAACUGAAGAAGCUUGUGGUUGACACAACUGCCAAUCAAGUAAAUUAUCUAUGAUCUAUAAUGCGAUAUCUUUACAUUGGUGUGAAGUGAUUGGUUUUGUUAACCUUUGAACGACAUUGUUUGCUUUGGGCUCCAAAAUACCUACCAAAGUUGUACCACCACCGAGUACUGGUAAGUCUGAAUGUUGCUGUGAUGUCCGGUUUCCGUUUGGUUUGGUGUCCUUUGGAAAGAAUUGAUCAUCGAGGACAUGAGUGGUCUUGAUCACUUGUGUUUUGGGGAUUUGCUGGCCUUAGCCAACACUGCAUCACUCUGUUUCUCCGGUCAGAUCCCAAAACCUACAAGUAAGAGAGGACUUUUGAUUCUGAUUGAAUUAGAAAUGAAAUUGCUUAGUCAAAUAUGAAAGAUGGACUGAGAGAUAGCUACUUGUCUCUGGUUAUGUAUUUUAAUAUUGGCACAAAUCAAUAUUAAAAUUAAUCAUUUAGUAAUCUAUUUUUAAUAUGCUUUUAUGUAAUGUUUGUUUAAACUUUUAUUGAAUGCAAUAUUUGUAAGUUUUUCAAAAGUAUACAAGUCUUAUGAA
Molecule: non-coding RNA, 846 nt
Organism: Camelina sativa (false flax)
Lineage: Eukaryota; Viridiplantae; Streptophyta; Magnoliopsida; Brassicales; Brassicaceae
Source: RefSeq, a predicted model, not a curated record